Molecule: unclassified non-coding RNA, 90 nt
Filed under: Flavobacterium micromati
Lineage: Bacteria; Pseudomonadati; Bacteroidota; Flavobacteriia; Flavobacteriales; Flavobacteriaceae
Description: Flavo-1 RNA
Source: RNAcentral
UGCUAGCCGUGAUGGAAGUGGAAAGCCUUUUUUUAUAAAAUUGUAUUUUUUCUUGGCUAAAAAGAGCGACCAGCGGAAGCUCCUUUUUAG